Molecule: long non-coding RNA, 529 nt
Filed under: Oryzias javanicus (javanese ricefish)
Lineage: Eukaryota; Metazoa; Chordata; Actinopteri; Beloniformes; Adrianichthyidae
Description: lncRNA (ENSOJAG00000000190.1)
Source: RNAcentral
UUGUUGUUUGUCCACGGGCGCGUGGUAGUCAAGCUGAAGUCGUCCUGCAGCUGGAGCCUCUCCUCACUGACGGCCUGCAGAGCUCCGAGGACGGACGGACGGACGGACGGACGGACUCCACGGCCGCACGGGCCUGAGGCUUAAAGAAAUCAUCUGAUCAUCAUCAACAGUCAUGCCAGGGCACCGGAGGGGGAGGAGCCUGUCCGAGGCGCUGACCCUGGAGCAGCUGGAGGAGGGAGGUGUCGUCAUUUCCAGCAUCAGCAACCCCAAACACAGCCAGGACCUAAAGGAAGGGGAUGAAAUUAUGGGGGCAACCAUAAAUUUUGAUCAACUAUCAAAAGAGGAAGUGUUGAAAGUCCUGAAGCUAAUGGAGCCGUUUGAAGACAAAGUCCAAGUUCACACUCGAAACAACUUAAGCAAGAGCCUGGGCGACCUGGAUGUGUGUGCCAGGAGCCCUGAGAAGGUAGGUGUCACACAGACAUGCAUUGAGCUCCUUUUGAAAUUUCUGAUUUUACACUCCAAUCGACUG